CGCAUCUGUGCAUGCAGCAUAUCAAUAAGCGGAGGAAAAGCGCAUUAAAGAUCCAGAUACCUACGCUUAGGAUGUUGACACACGCGCGUGCUCGACUCUAUACAUGACUCUGUGCAUAUCAAUAAGCGGAGGAAAAGAAACUAACAAGGAUUCCCUUAGUAACGGCGAGUGAAGCGGGAAGAGCUCAAAUUUGAAAUCUUCAAGGGUUUUACCUUUACGAAUUGUAGUUUAAAGAAGUGUUUUCUGUUGAGGUUUUGGUAAAAGCUCUUUGGAAUAGGACAUCAUAGAGGGUGAGAAUCCCGUAUUUGACCAUUAUUUUCAGCUGUGUGAUACACUUUCAAAGAGUCGGAUUGUUUGGGAAUGCAGUCCAAAAUGGGUGGUAAAUUUCAUCUAAAGCUAAAUAUUGGCGAGAGACCGAUAGCGAACAAGUACCGUGAGGGAAAGAUGAAAAGAACUUUGAAAAGAGAGUUAAACAGUACGUGAAAUUGUCAAAAGGGAAGCGUUUGACACCAGUGUUGUUUUCUCGAAAAUCAAUUAAAAAGAGUUAGAUUUUGUUGUGUAUUGACCUUAACAGCUUGCAUUUCAAUUCUCUUGCUUUUUUUAAUGCACUUUUCGUUUAACAAGUCAACAUCAGUUUCUUUUGUUGUAAAAAGGUCAUUGGAAGGUGGCUUUCUUUUCGGAGAAAGUGUUUAUAGCCUUUGACUCCUGCAAUCGGAGAGACUGAGGUCCGCAGCGUAGAUCCUUCGGGGUUAGAUACAUUUGUGCUAAGUUAUAGCUUUUUAUAGACAACUUGUUGACUAUGAUUAGUCUUGUAGCUUACUCGCUUAUGCUAUUUUACCUACGCUUAGGAUGUUGAUGUGAUACUGCGAGCA
This 872-nucleotide ribosomal RNA is filed under the name uncultured Neocallimastigales. RNAcentral's name for it is "partial large subunit ribosomal RNA". It matches the Rfam family "Eukaryotic large subunit ribosomal RNA", at positions 1 to 629 of the family's 3401-position model. Lineage: Eukaryota; Fungi; Neocallimastigomycota; Neocallimastigomycetes; Neocallimastigales. The record is from RNAcentral.